GGCCAGACUCCUACGGGAGGCAGCAGUGAGGAAUAUUGGUCAAUGGGCUUACGCCUGAACCAGCCAAGUCGCGUGAGGGAAGACUGCCCUAUGGGUUGUAAACCUCUUUUGUCAGGGAGCAGCGCCGGCUACGUGUAGCCGGACUGAGAGUACCUGAAGAAAAAGCAUCGGCUAACUCCGUGCCAGCAGCCGCGGUAAUACGGAGGAUGCGAGCGUUAUCCGGAUUUAUUGGGUUUAAAGGGUGCGUAGGCGGACGCUUAAGUCAGCGGUAAAAUUGCGGGGCUCAACCUCGUCGAGCCGUUGAAACUGGGCGCCUUGAGUGGGCGAGAAGUACGCGGAAUGCGUGGUGUAGCGGUGAAAUGCAUAGAUAUCGCGCAGAACUCCGAUUGCGAAGGCAGCAUGCCGGCUCCACACUGACGCUGAGGCACGAAAGCGUGGGUAUCGAACAGGAUUAGAUACCCGAGUA
RNAcentral lists this ribosomal RNA (466 nucleotides) under uncultured bacterium. Its description in RNAcentral is "bacterial SSU rRNA". It matches the Rfam family "Bacterial small subunit ribosomal RNA", at positions 329 to 792 of the family's 1533-position model. The record is from RNAcentral.